Molecule: ribosomal RNA, 229 nt
Filed under: Staphylococcus epidermidis
Lineage: Bacteria; Bacillati; Bacillota; Bacilli; Caryophanales; Staphylococcaceae
Description: 16S rRNA. Bacterial SSU
Rfam family: Bacterial small subunit ribosomal RNA
Source: RNAcentral
UUUUUAUGGAGAGUUUGAUCCUGGCUCAGGAUGAACGCUGGCGGCGUGCCUAAUACAUGCAAGUCGAGCGAACAGAUGAGGAGCUUGCUCCUCUGACGUUAGCGGCGGACGGGUGAGUAACACGUGGAUAACCUACCUAUAAGACUGGGAUAACUUCGGGAAACCGGAGCUAAUACCGGAUAAUAUAUUGAACCGCAUGGUUCAAUAGUGAAAGACGGUUUUGCUGUCA